ACUCCCCAACAAUAGCCACUCUAUAUGCUCAUAGACUUGCCUCUCAACAACAAACUCUAACACAAUCUGAAGUAACCUCACCACUCCAAACUUCACUUCCACCACAACAAACAACUACUCUACCCUCUGAAAUUCAACCAUCUGAUCCCCACACCUCUGAUAUCACCCCACCAAAAAUUCCCGCUGUACCUGAAGUAGACUCUAACCCUUUAGACCUAAAUCCUCUUUAUGCUUCAUCUCCU
Molecule: long non-coding RNA, 242 nt
Filed under: Lathyrus oleraceus (garden pea)
Lineage: Eukaryota; Viridiplantae; Streptophyta; Magnoliopsida; Fabales; Fabaceae
Description: Pisum sativum (pea) long non-coding RNA (PSAT_LNC038583)
Source: RNAcentral